Long non-coding RNA from Drosophila teissieri, 672 nucleotides. RefSeq lists it as uncharacterized. The transcript is spliced from 2 exons. Lineage: Eukaryota; Metazoa; Arthropoda; Insecta; Diptera; Drosophilidae. The record is from RefSeq and is a predicted model, not a curated record.
GAUUAAUUCAAACCAACACUGCUAAAAUAAAACACCUAAUGUACAAAGAAUAAUGAUAAGUAAGCGGAAGAGGACUUUGAAACUACGUUAUCGUUUUAUUGACUGUAACUAUGAGCUGAGUCCAUAACAAUUCAUAUUCUCCAAACAAUACCAGACGGCAGUCCACGUAGUGACGAUGAGAACUGAGAGUGUGGUGUGCAAAGAGCUCAAUUUAUAUCUUCAUCAUCAAAAAUGUCGUUCCAGUGGUUCAAAGUACCAUCGAGCAGCACACAGGCCGAUAUAGUGCACUGACAAUUAAUGAUGUUGCAGUUCUUUUGACUAGCUUAUUUAACGGUCGAGAUGCAUACAUAUGAACCCAACGCAGCGCAUACGAUUGAAGCAGUUAUCGUUGUUACGAGCAAAGGAAUAAUGGAUAAUUUAUAAUAUUUUAAUUUAAAAGUUGUCAAUUAAUUUUUGUUAAAAAUACUGCAGCUAGUGCACUUCAAUUCUUUCCAAAAUUUUUCAUUUUAUAUGUAAGUAUGUAUAUGUGUACUUUAUGCACAGUAUACAGAAAAUUUGUACAUAUAAAUACUUGAUUUCUAGGUUUGUAUGUGUACAGAAGUAUAAUGCAGAAUUGGAUUUCGUAAAUCAAUAUUGUUUCCCUAAAGAUCAAUAAAAAUAUAUACAUACAGA